GCCCCAGUAGCUCAGACCGGUCAGAGCGACUAAAUAAUGAGUAGUAGGCCCUGGGUUCAAAUCCCAGCUGGGGCU
This 75-nucleotide transfer RNA is filed under the name Nitrososphaerota archaeon. RNAcentral describes it as "Thaumarchaeota archaeon tRNA-Ile". It matches the Rfam family "tRNA". Rfam says of the family: Transfer RNA (tRNA) molecules are approximately 80 nucleotides in length. The record is from RNAcentral. Lineage: Archaea; Thermoproteati; Nitrososphaerota. RNAcentral also lists the same sequence under 1 other name.